UACGAAGGUGGCGAGCGUUACUCGGAAUGACUAGGCGUAAAGGGCAGGUAGGCGGCUCGGAAAGUCUGUUGUGAAAGCUCCUGGCUUAACUGGGAGAGGCCAACGGAAACUGUCGGGCUUGAGUAUAGGAGAGGGUACUGGAAUUCCCGGUGUAGCGGUGAAAUGCGCAGAUAUCGGGAGGAACACCGAUGGCGAAAGCAAGUACCUGGACUAUUACUGACGCUCAGCUGCGAAAGCUAGGGGAG
This 245-nucleotide ribosomal RNA is filed under the name uncultured bacterium. RNAcentral's name for it is "partial 16S ribosomal RNA". It matches the Rfam family "Bacterial small subunit ribosomal RNA", at positions 524 to 768 of the family's 1533-position model. The record is from RNAcentral.